Molecule: long non-coding RNA, 2155 nt
Organism: Dermacentor andersoni
Lineage: Eukaryota; Metazoa; Arthropoda; Arachnida; Ixodida; Ixodidae
Source: RefSeq, a predicted model, not a curated record
AAACUGGUGCUGGAGCUUUCAUAUGCUUUACAGUCGUCGUAUAGUUAUGCACAGGCUUGCGCGGUAUUGCACACUAAUGAAUAGAGGCAAGUGCACAGGUAUGAGAUUGCACUUCUGCCUAAGGCCGAUCUGCAAUCGAGUACAUGGCUUUGUGUGAGCGAGAACUCCAUACAAUGGAAAGGAUUGCGUCUAAAAACAUGUACACACAGCAGAAAAAACAAAGUAGCACUUCAUAUCAAUCUUAACACAAUAAGUAAAAGCUGAGUCAACCAAAGCGCAAAUUUUGCAUUGUUUGAUUAAAGAAGUGCUAGAAGUACUGUACACUAGUUCUAAUGAUAGCUCCUGUCGAAGUUUUAUAUUUCCUGAAUCCCCAAUGUGCAAAAAAUUUAAAUCUACUAAUUGUUCAGUUAAAACACGAGGAAAACAUGGUGUCAACCACGUGCCAACGCACGCGUGUUAGCCGGCAUGUCAACGGCGUCUGACACGCCGGCUGAGAAAAAGAAGAGGAAAGAAAAAAAGAAGGAUACGCCAAGAAACCAAACUAAGUGUGUUGCCUAUAGCUUGAAAUUUAGCAUAGCGGAUAGAUUAUAAAGCUCCUUUUGAAAUGUUUAUGCCUAUUUGUUGCAAUGCCUUGAACUUAUAGAUAAGGCAUGAUUCUCUGUAUUUUCUUUCUCGUUCAGAACGGAAAUUUGUAAGAUGUAGAGUUGUCAUUUUCAGUUGUCAUUUCAUGCAGUUCUUGGCGUUGCUCACGAAAAAAAUUUUGAUGGCAGUCACUUUGUGCUGCUAUAAUUAGACGCCAUGUCACAGUGUCAACCUCAAAUUAAUAAAGCAAAUUAGCUUACAGUUUCUAUACAUACUGUCUUUGCAGGAGUUUGAUCUCUGUAUGAAAGCUGCAAAAUGUACUCAAACAAAGCAUAGUUUAAAAAUGUACAAGAAGCAACAUCAUUCUUGUCACUUUUUUAUAUCUUCUUUUUCUUCAAUUCCAUUAUGCUUCGCUCUAAAAUUUUGCCCUGAGAAAAACAAAUGCUUGAUCCUCAUCAGGAAAAGAGAAAAGAUGUCACUGAACCUCUUCUUCAUAACUACUGAGUUCCACAACAUGUCUACAAUUCAACUUUGUAACGCUAGUUCUGUGCAUUACACACCCUGAAAUGCAGACUGAACAUACAAGUGUCCAGGGUACUUAAUCUUCUUUCUUCUUCUAAAUUACCCCAUAAGAUAUUCUGCACAGCCAACGUGGGCUUACAAUAAACCGAUUCCCCUUGACACACUGCAUACAUGUAACAUUUGCUUUAUUUUAUUAUCCUGAUCAGCUUUCAAGUCAUAGAAGGAAAAGGUGGAGAAAGACACACGCAGUCGCUUCAUUGCAAGGACAGGUACAGAGACUUGCGGCCACCUGAAAAAGAAGCAUUUCUACUUCGUCUGUCACCGGUCUGGAAGUUAUGCUUCACAAGCUACAAGUAAACAAAAGCUGAAGCGGCCUUCAAGUGUCAAGUGUGGAAAAAGAUGUUUUGCGGCAAUGGCUGUGACUGAAGACAACACAGGUGUGUAUGUGGUUUUCCAAUUCAAGCACAGAGGCCACGACUUUGAACUGGGUCGUGUUUUUCUGUCCAAGUCGGAAAGAGCUGCUAUUGCUGACAAGCUGCGAGAAGGCGUGUCCAUGGAUGCAGUACUGGAUAAUGUGCGGUCCAACGUGGAUGAAACAUUCCACCGCAUUAACCUGUUAAGCAAGCAGGAUCUCCGCAAAAUAAUGAGGGAUGCCAGAGUCUCGAAGACCGAGCGGCUGCACGAUAAUGACUAUGUGAGCAUGCAACUCUGGGUUGAGAGGAUGCAUAGUGAAAAGGAAAACCCAUUGCUCUUCAUUAAACACCAAAGACAACCCGACAAAAAGUGACAUUUUCUUAGAGAAAAAAAAUGAGGACCUUUUGGAUGACAGAGAUCUUAUGCUAGUCAUCAUGACCACACCACAACAGGAGCUUUUCAAGAGGCUUGAAACUGAUCGUAUAUGUGUCGAUGGAACACAUGGAACAGCAGGUGAGCAGUACUAUAUAAAUGCAUUAAUAAUAAAAGCAAGAAAGAGGGAAUGCUGUCCGAGAAUAAUUGCAAUAGAUAUGAUGAGUAGUAUUCCUUCACACAUGAUAUUUCUCUUAAUUUUUCA